GUGGGGAAUUUUGGACAAUGGGCGCAAGCCUGAUCCAGCAAUGCCGCGUGCAGGAAGAAGGCCUUCGGGUUGUAAACUGCUUUUGUACGGAACGAAACGGUCCUGGUUAAUACCUGGGGCUAAUGACGGUACCGUAAGAAUAAGCACCGGCUAACUACGUGCCAGCAGCCGCGGUAAUACGUAGGGUGCAAGCGUUAAUCGGAAUUACUGGGCGUAAAGCGUGCGCAGACGGUUUUGUACGACAGGCGUGAAAUCCCCGGGCUCAACCUGGGAAUUGCGCUUGUGACUGCAAGGCUGGAGUGCGGCAGAGGGGGAUGGAAUUCCGCGUGUAGCAGUGAAAUGCGUAGAUAUGCGGAGGAACACCGAUGGCGAAGGCAAUCCCCUGGGCCUGCACUGACGCUCAUGCACGAAAGCGUGGGGAGCAAACAGGAUUAGAAACCCUGGUAGUCC
RNAcentral lists this ribosomal RNA (450 nucleotides) under uncultured bacterium. RNAcentral's name for it is "partial 16S ribosomal RNA". It matches the Rfam family "Bacterial small subunit ribosomal RNA", at positions 354 to 796 of the family's 1533-position model. The record is from RNAcentral.